AUUUUUUUUUAUCACUAUUUAACUUCAAAUAAGCCAUAUGUAACUUCAAAUAAGCCAUCAGCUUUUGUAAAUAUCUGCUAAGGAACAAAUCGAUUGUAGCUUUGUAGCUUAGUCGUGUCGUUAGCAGCCCAGUCAGUCUUUGAGGUAGCAGCAGCCACCAAGUCCGUUAACUGGGCAGUCAUCACCAUGGAACAUCAAAUAAGCCAUCAAGCUUUUUGUAUCUGUCCUAAGCUGUUUCACUCACAGUUACAGCAAGAUCAGGAAUCCAGACAUUAAAGCACAAAGAAGAACAAACAAAACAAUAGCAAGAUCCGCUAUUUAGCCAUUAGCUCACUUUUCCCUUUAUUUAGCAAAUUCUCUGGUGCAUAUAUUGCAAGUUCUAGUCUUUGUUCUAGCAUAAAUUACAGACACAAUAAUAUCAGACUUUGACAUGUAAAUCUUCACAGCUCGAAGUCUUGGUUGCUAAAUUUCUCCAUCUCUUUCUUGAAAGCAGGCAAGGCAGUUUCUUGCAUGGUCACCAGCACCUUGAACCCAUCUUUCUUGCCUGCAUUUGCUGAUGAGUAAGGCAAGAAAAAGCAAGGCUCAACACUUCCAAGUAGUUUCCUUGAAAGAGGCAAGACAGUAACUGGACCUCCCCACCCGAAAUCCACAGUUGAAUGGCCCAGGUGUCUCCAAUCUGUGAAUCCACUCACUCUGUUUCCUGCUGUGAUACCAUCUGCAUAAUGCACUUCUUGGAAGUCGACAAAUGAUCGGACAUAUUCAUUGGUGGCAUUAAUUUUACUCUUCUUGAUCACCUCUGCUGUUUUCCAAAUGGGUUGCUCUAGUAGCUCUUUAGCAAGAAGCUGUGCAUACAUUGGAACACAGCCAUUGCCCCAGUAGCCUGCAGGCAACGGUGGCUUUACCAGUCUUCGUAUAUUCAUUGCAUAUGUAAACUUCACAACCUCAUCACCAGCAACUCCUGAGGCUUUGACCUUGGCCCGCCAUAAGAAUGCACCCAAAGCUUCAAACGUGGUGAAAUUUGAGCCACUCUUCUGAAGCAGCACUUUCUUGAACAGAUCCAACCACUCAUCCUUUACAUUGAAACACGCCCUAGCAACCUUACCAACCGCCUGACCGUACGGUUCAGACCCUUUCUCCAACCCCAAAAACUCCCUUAUCGCUCCAUCAGUCUGGGGUGGGUCCCUCGGGCUCAACAAAGUCGUCCUGUCCCACACCGGUUCAAUCGAAAUCAGGUCCGCCCCGCGAGCCAACUCCGCCAUGACAUUAAAAAACUGGGUGGCUCCAAGCCCAUCACACAAGGCAUGGUGUAUUGCAGCUCCCAGGGUAUACCCACCGCACUCAAACAUUGUGAUUUGGAGUAUGCACGGGUUGACCAGCCCAUCAUCCGGACUCGGGUCGGGCACCAACUGCUCCACGAAAUCAUAGUCCGGGUCAUCAAGAUAAUUGAGGGAUUCCAGCGUGCAGUUGACCGUGGCAUUGAUGAGAGGCACACUUUGGUCCCCGGAGCAGAAUA
Molecule: unclassified non-coding RNA, 1513 nt
Filed under: Hevea brasiliensis (rubber tree)
Lineage: Eukaryota; Viridiplantae; Streptophyta; Magnoliopsida; Malpighiales; Euphorbiaceae
Source: RNAcentral